ACCGCCCCCCGUUUCCCCCAGGGCGCCCGAGGUCUCCCCGGAACCGCCGGCCUGCCGGGCAUGAAGGGACACAGGGGUUUCAGCGGUCUGGAUGGUGCCAAGGGUGAGCCCGGACCUGCCGGCCCCAAGGGAGAGCCCGGCAGCCC
Molecule: non-coding RNA, 146 nt
Organism: Lonchura striata (white-rumped munia)
Lineage: Eukaryota; Metazoa; Chordata; Aves; Passeriformes; Estrildidae
Source: RefSeq, a predicted model, not a curated record